RNAcentral lists this ribosomal RNA (387 nucleotides) under uncultured bacterium. RNAcentral describes it as "bacterial SSU rRNA". It matches the Rfam family "Bacterial small subunit ribosomal RNA", at positions 28 to 417 of the family's 1533-position model. The record is from RNAcentral.
GACGAACGCUGGCGGCGUGCUUAACACAUGCAAGUCGAGCGGUAAGGCCCUUUCGGGGGUACACGAGCGGCGAACGGGUGAGUAACACGUGGGUGACCUGCCCUUAGCUCUGGGAUAAGCCUGGGAAACUGGGUCUAAUACCGGAUAUGACUCCAUGACGCAUGUUGUGGGGUGGAAAGCCUUGUGCGGCUAGGGAUGGGCCCGCGGCCUAUCAGCUUGUUGGUGGGGUGAUGGCCUACCAAGGCAACGACGGUAGCCGGCCUGAGAGGGCGACCGGCCACACUGGGACUGAGACACGGCCCAGACUCCUACGGGAGGCAGCAGUGGGGAAUCUUGCGCAAUGGGCGAAAGCCUGACGCAGCGACGCCGCGUGAGGGAUGACGGCCU